AACGAACGCUGGCGGCAUGCCUAACACAUGCAAGUCGAACGAGACCUUCGGGUCUAGUGGCGCACGGGUGCGUAACGCGUGGGAACCUGCCCUUAGGUUCGGAAUAACUCCCCGAAAGGGGUGCUAAUACCGGAUAAUGUCUUCGGUCCAAAGAUUUAUCGCCUUUGGAUGGGCCCGCGUUGGAUUAGCUAGUUGGUAGGGUAAAAGCCUACCAAGGCGACGAUCCAUAGCUGGUCUGAGAGGAUGAUCAGCCACACUGGGACUGAGACACGGCCCAGACUCCUACGGGAGGCAGCAGUGGGGAAUAUUGGACAGUGGGCGAAAGCCUGAUCCAGCAAUGCCGCGUGAGUGAUGAAGGCCUUAGGGUUGUAAAGCUCUUUUACCCGGGAUGAUCAUGACAGUACCGGGAGAAUAAGCUCCGGCUAACUCCGUG
Molecule: ribosomal RNA, 433 nt
Filed under: uncultured bacterium
Lineage: Bacteria
Description: partial 16S ribosomal RNA
Rfam family: Bacterial small subunit ribosomal RNA
Source: RNAcentral